UACGUAGGGGGCAAGCGUUGUCCGGAUUUACUGGGCGUAAAGAGCGUGUAGGCGGCCAGGCAGGUCUGUUGUGAAAACUGGAGGCUUAACCUCCAGAGGUCGACAGAAACCGCUUGGCUAGAGUCCGGAAGAGGAGAGUGGAAUUCCUGGUGUAGCGGUGAAAUGCGCAGAUAUCAGGAAGAACACCAAUGGCGAAGGCAGCUCUCUGGGACGGUACUGACGCUGAGGAGCGAAAGCCAGGGGAGCAAACGGG
This 253-nucleotide ribosomal RNA is filed under the name uncultured bacterium. RNAcentral describes it as "partial 16S ribosomal RNA". It matches the Rfam family "Bacterial small subunit ribosomal RNA", at positions 524 to 776 of the family's 1533-position model. The record is from RNAcentral.